AUGGCCCUGAAGCAGCAAUCUGCGGUCCUGCCUCAGCCCAAGAAACCCAGACCGGCUGCUGCCCCGAAGCUGGAGGACAAGUCGGCCUCUCCCAGCCUGCCGAAGGGAGAAAAAGAACAGCAAGAAGCAAUUGAACAUAUUGAUGAAGUACAAAAUGAAAUAGACAGACUUAAUGAACAAGCCAGUGAGGAAAUUUUGAAAGUAGAACAAAAAUAUAACUCCACCAACCAUUUUUUCAGAAGAGGUCAGAAUUGAUCACCAAAAUUCCAAAUUUUUGGGUAACAACAUGUGUCAACCAUCCACAAGUGUCUGCACUGCUUGGGGAGGAGGACAAGGAGUCUCUGCAUUAUUUGACCAGAGUUGAAGUGACAGAAUUUGAAGACAUUAAAUCAGGUUACAGAAUAGAUUUUUAUUUUGAUGAAAAUCCUUACUUUGAAAAUAAAGUUCUCUCCAAAGAAUUUCAUCUGAAUGAGAGUGGUGACCCGUCCUCAAAAUCCACCAAAAUCAAAUGGAAAUCUGGAAAGGAUUUGACAAAAACACUCAAGUCAAACGCAGAAUAAGGCCAGCAGGAAGAGCCAGCACGAAGAGCCAGCGAGCUUCUUUACCUGGUUUACUGACCACUCUGACGCAGGUGCUGAAGAGUUAGGAGAGGUCAUCAAGGAUGACAUUUGGCCAAAUCCCUUGCAGUACUAUCUGCUUCCAGACAUGGAUGAUGAGGAAGGAGAGGCAGAAGAUGAUGAUGAUGACGACGAAGAGGAGGAGGGGUGGGAAGAUAUUGAUGAAGAAGGAAAUGAGGAUGAAGGUGAAGAGGAUGACGAUGAGGAUGAAGGGGAGGAAGGAGAGGAGGAUGAAGACGAGGAUGACUAGCACAGAAGAUUGAUGGAUUCCAACCUUCUUUUUUAUUUUCUUUUUCUUUUUUAGUUUUCCCCAGUCCCUGGGAGCAAGUUGCAGCCCACCCUCCCUGUCCCCUGUGCUCAGUCGCCCUGUUUAGAGGUCUCAACUUCAUGGUUCUCAAUUAAUUUGGGGGAAAAUAUCUUGAGCAAAAUACAACAGGAAAAGAAUCUC
RNA transcript from Mus pahari (shrew mouse), 1065 nucleotides. It is a transcript of the gene named protein SET-like, with no coding region annotated. The record is from RefSeq and is a predicted model, not a curated record. The transcript has a single exon. NCBI's taxonomy places the organism in Eukaryota, Metazoa, Chordata, Mammalia, Rodentia, Muridae.